AUACGUAGGGGGCGAGCGUUGUCCGGAAUGAUUGGGCGUAAAGGGCGCGUAGGCGGCGCGGUAAGUCUGGAGUGAAAGUCCUGCUUUCAAGGUGGGAAUUGCUUUGGAUACUGCCGCGCUUGAGUGCAGGAGAGGUUAUCGGAAUUCCCGGUGUAGCGGUGAAAUGCGUAGAGAUCGGGAGGAACACCAGUGGCGAAGGCGGGUAACUGGACUGCAACUGACGCUGAGGCGCGAAAGUGUGGGGAGCAAACAGGAUUAGAUACCCUGGUAGUCCACACUGUAAACGAUGAAUGCUAGGUGUAAGAGGUAUCGACCCCUUUUGUGCCGGAGUCAACACAAUAAGCAUUCGGCCUGGGGAGUACGGCCGCAAGGUGGAAACUCAAAUGAAUUGACGGGG
RNAcentral lists this ribosomal RNA (397 nucleotides) under uncultured bacterium. RNAcentral's name for it is "partial 16S ribosomal RNA". It matches the Rfam family "Bacterial small subunit ribosomal RNA", at positions 523 to 918 of the family's 1533-position model. The record is from RNAcentral.